GGGACGCUAACAAACUGAGCCACCCAGGGGCUACCCCAACAAUCUCUUCUAACUGCUAACUUCUAGCUACAAGGGAGACAGAGCACAUUGCCACGCAAAUAAAAUUCAGUUUCUGUUACGAAGAACAAGGGAGAAUAAAAGGAAUAUCACGGUGCUGGAGAAUAAGAAAAUGCCACAUAUAGGUAGCUAAUGAAAACUCCUAGAUGGUAAUAGUGAAGAUAAUGAUUCUGAGGAUGACAAUCUAUGCACAUUGGAUUAUCCUGCUUUGGGGAGACUGGAAGCAACAGUGAAUCUGAGAGUCUUGUUCAGAGCCAGGGGAGAAUGUAGAAGACUCUCCAUCAUGAGAGCUGCAGAAAAAGGAUCACAUCAAAAGCCCCCCCCCCAAAAAAAAGAAGAUAAAAAGGGUAAAGCCAUUUGGACAAUUAUUCUUAACCAGAUUAAACUCUGAAAAAUCC
RNAcentral lists this long non-coding RNA (455 nucleotides) under Mustela putorius furo (domestic ferret). RNAcentral's name for it is "lncRNA (ENSMPUG00000029309.1)". Lineage: Eukaryota; Metazoa; Chordata; Mammalia; Carnivora; Mustelidae. The record is from RNAcentral.